RNAcentral lists this ribosomal RNA (502 nucleotides) under uncultured bacterium. Its description in RNAcentral is "partial 16S ribosomal RNA". It matches the Rfam family "Bacterial small subunit ribosomal RNA", at positions 29 to 523 of the family's 1533-position model. The record is from RNAcentral.
AUUGAACGCUGGCGGAAUGCUUUACACAUGCAAGUCGAACGGCAGCACGGGUGCUUGCACCUGGUGGCGAGUGGCGAACGGGUGAGUAAUACAUCGGAACGUACCCAGUCGUGGGGGAUAACGUAGCGAAAGUUACGCUAAUACCGCAUACGUCCUGAGGGAGAAAGCGGGGGACCGUAAGGCCUCGCGCGAUUGGAGCGGCCGAUGGCGGAUUAGCUAGGUGGUGGGGUAAAGGCCUACCAAGGCGACGAUCCGUAGCGGGUCUGAGAGGACGGACCGCCACACUGGAACUGAGACACGGUCCAGACUCCUACGGGAGGCAGCAGUGGGGAAUAUUGGACAAUGGGGGAAACCCUGAUCCAGCGACGCCGCGUGGGUGAAGAAGGCCUGCGGGUUGUAAAGCCCUUUCGGUAGGGACGAAAGCUCUCGACCUAACACGUCGGGAGGUUGACUUAACCUACAAAAGAAGCACCGGCUAACUCUGUGCCAGCCGCCGCGGUAA